RNAcentral lists this long non-coding RNA (538 nucleotides) under Erythranthe guttata (spotted monkey flower). RNAcentral's name for it is "long non-coding RNA (EGUT_LNC001728)". The record is from RNAcentral. Lineage: Eukaryota; Viridiplantae; Streptophyta; Magnoliopsida; Lamiales; Phrymaceae.
UAGGCAUAGGCAGCCUCUCUCUGUCUCUCUAUCUCCUCUCCCUCUCUCUCUCCUUGAAUCCAAAAACGCUUCUUCUUCCUUCCCUGCUUUUCUUUUUUUUUUUCUCUCUCUAUUUUUCCCAUUUCUUUCUCCAUAUCCAGCCUCCGACCACCUUAUUCAGCCACGGCCGCCCAGAUCCGCCCACCUAAUAGUCUACAGCCGAGAUUCGUCCAUGUCCGGCCUCCGACCACCGGAUUCAGCCACCGCCGCGCAGAUCCGGCCACCAUUUACUUUGUUUUGACAAAAACCGGGGUCAUCAACCGGUUCGCCGGUUUCCGGGUUUUGCCCGGUUGAACCGGGUUUCGGUCAUUUGACCCCGGUUUUUUAUUUUUCCGGUUUUGGAGCUCAAACCGGACCGCCUUGUCGCCGGGUCGCGGUCGAACCGGUCCGACCGGCCGGUCCGGUCCGAUUCUUACAACAUUGGUAAUACCUACUACCUAGUCAUGAAUUAUGUUCAUGUGGAAUAAUAAGUCAAUUUUUAUAUAACAUAUGUAUAAGU